This 55-nucleotide unclassified non-coding RNA is filed under the name Latilactobacillus sakei. RNAcentral's name for it is "Lactobacillus sakei sroB". Lineage: Bacteria; Bacillati; Bacillota; Bacilli; Lactobacillales; Lactobacillaceae. The record is from RNAcentral.
AUUUUCAGGAGAAUUUUCAAGUCUACCUUAAAAUUAAUAGAUUCUUAACAAGAUU